This 2939-nucleotide ribosomal RNA is filed under the name Providencia stuartii. RNAcentral's name for it is "23S ribosomal RNA". It matches the Rfam family "Bacterial large subunit ribosomal RNA". Lineage: Bacteria; Pseudomonadati; Pseudomonadota; Gammaproteobacteria; Enterobacterales; Morganellaceae. The record is from RNAcentral.
GGGUUGUGAGGUUAAGCGACUAAGCGUACACGGUGGAUGCCUAGGCAAUCAGAGGCGAUGAAGGACGUGCUAAUCUGCGAAAAGCGUCGGUAAGGUGAUAUGAACCGUUAUAACCGACGAUGUCCGAAUGGGGAAACCCAGUGCAAUUCGUUGCACUAUCGUUUGAUGAAUCCAUAGUCAAACGAGGCGAACCGGGGGAACUGAAACAUCUCAGUACCCCGAGGAAAAGAAAUCAACCGAGAUUCCCCUAGUAGCGGCGAGCGAACGGGGAGCAGCCCAGAGUCUUAAUCAGCAUCAGCAUCAGGAGAACGGUCUGGAAAGGCCGGCAAUAAAGGGUGAUAGCCCCGUAUCCGAAGGUGUUGGUGUUGUGAACUCGACGAGUAGGGCGGGACACGUGUUAUCCUGUCUGAAUAUGGGGGGACCAUCCUCCAAGGCUAAAUACUCCUGAUUGACCGAUAGUGAACCAGUACCGUGAGGGAAAGGCGAAAAGAACCCCGGCGAGGGGAGUGAAAUAGAACCUGAAACCGUGUACGUACAAGCAGUGGGAGCCUUGAUUUAUCAGGGUGACUGCGUACCUUUUGUAUAAUGGGUCAGCGACUUAUAUUCUGUAGCAAGGUUAACCGUAUAGGGGAGCCGUAGGGAAACCGAGUCUUAACUGGGCGAAUGAGUUGCAGGGUAUAGACCCGAAACCCGGUGAUCUAGCCAUGGGCAGGUUGAAGGUUGGGUAACACUAACUGGAGGACCGAACCGACUAAUGUUGAAAAAUUAGCGGAUGACUUGUGGCUGGGGGUGAAAGGCCAAUCAAACCGGGAGAUAGCUGGUUCUCCCCGAAAGCUAUUUAGGUAGCGCCUCGUGAACUCAUCUUCGGGGGUAGAGCACUGUUUCGGCUAGGGGGUCAUCCCGACUUACCAACCCGAUGCAAACUACGAAUACCGAAGAAUGUUAUCACGGGAGACACACGGCGGGUGCUAACGUUCGUCGUGAAGAGGGAAACAACCCAGACCGCCAGCUAAGGUCCCAAAGUCAUGGUUAAGUGGGAAACGAAGUGGGAAGGCUCAGACAGCCAGGAUGUUGGCUUAGAAGCAGCCAUCAUUUAAAGAAAGCGUAAUAGCUCACUGGUCGAGUCGGCCUGCGCGGAAGAUGUAACGGGGCUAAACCAUGCACCGAAGCUGCGGCAGCGACAUGUAAAUGUUGUUGGGUAGGGGAGCGUUCUGUAAGCCUGUGAAGGUGUGCUGCGAGGCAUGCUGGAGGUAUCAGAAGUGCGAAUGCUGACAUAAGUAACGAUAAUGCGGGUGAAAAACCCGCACGCCGGAAGACCAAGGGUUCCUGUCCAACGUUAAUCGGGGCAGGGUGAGUCGACCCCUAAGGCGAGGCAGAAAUGCGUAGUCGAUGGGAAACAGGUUAAUAUUCCUGUACUGGUGAUAAUUGCGAUGGGGGGACGGAGAAGGCUAGGCUGGCCGGGCGACGGUUGUCCCGGUUUAAGGAUGUAGGUGGGUGAAUUAGGCAAAUCCGGUUCGCUAUACACUGAGGUCUGAUGACGAGUCACUACGGUGGCGAAGUAGCUCAUGCCCCGCUUCCAGGAAAAGCCUCUAAGCUCUAGAUUAUCAUUAAUCGUACCCCAAACCGACACAGGUGGUCAGGUAGAGAAUACUCAGGCGCUUGAGAGAACUCGGGUGAAGGAACUAGGCAAAAUGGUGCCGUAACUUCGGGAGAAGGCACGCUGGCACUAGGUGAAGUGGUUUACCCAUGGAGCUGAAGCCAGUCGCAGAUACCAGCUGGCUGCAACUGUUUAUUAAAAACACAGCACUGUGCAAACACGAAAGUGGACGUAUACGGUGUGACGCCUGCCCGGUGCUGGAAGGUUAAUUGAUGGGGUUAUCCGUAAGGAGAAGCUCUUGAUCGAAGCCCCAGUAAACGGCGGCCGUAACUAUAACGGUCCUAAGGUAGCGAAAUUCCUUGUCGGGUAAGUUCCGACCUGCACGAAUGGCGUAAUGAUGGCCAGGCUGUCUCCACCCGAGACUCAGUGAAAUUGAACUCGCUGUGAAGAUGCAGUGUACCCGCGGCAAGACGGAAAGACCCCGUGAACCUUUACUAUAGCUUGACACUGAACAUUGAGCCUUGAUGUGUAGGAUAGGUGGGAGGCUUUGAAGUGUGGACGCCAGUCUGCAUGGAGCCAACCUUGAAAUACCACCCUUUAAUGUUUGAUGUUCUAACGUUGCCCCAUAAUCUGGGGUGCGGACAGUGUCUGGUGGGUAGUUUGACUGGGGCGGUCUCCUCCCAAAGCGUAACGGAGGAGCACGAAGGUUGGCUAAGCAUGGUCGGACAUCAUGCGGUUAGUGCAAAGGCAUAAGCCAGCUUGACUGCGAGAGUGACGGCUCGAGCAGGUACGAAAGUAGGUCUUAGUGAUCCGGUGGUUCUGAAUGGAAGGGCCAUCGCUCAACGGAUAAAAGGUACUCCGGGGAUAACAGGCUGAUACCGCCCAAGAGUUCAUAUCGACGGCGGUGUUUGGCACCUCGAUGUCGGCUCAUCACAUCCUGGGGCUGAAGUAGGUCCCAAGGGUAUGGCUGUUCGCCAUUUAAAGUGGUACGCGAGCUGGGUUUAGAACGUCGUGAGACAGUUCGGUCCCUAUCUGCCGUGGGCGUUGGAAGAUUGAAAGGGGCUGCUCCUAGUACGAGAGGACCGGAGUGGACGCACCGCUGGUGUUCGGGUUGUCAUGCCAAUGGCACUGCCCGGUAGCUAAGUGCGGAAGAGAUAACCGCUGAAAGCAUCUAAGCGGGAAACUUGCCUUGAGAUGAGUCUUCCCUGACUCUUUAAGGGUCCUAAAGGAACGUUUAAGACGAAGACGUUGAUAGGCUGGGUGUGUAAGCGUAGCGAUACGUUGAGCUAACCAGUACUAAUGAACCGUGAGGCUUAACCUGACAACACCGAAGGUGUUUUAG